GUGCUUGCUUCGGCAGCAUAUAUACUAAAACUGGAACUAUACAGAAAAGAUUAGCAUGGCCUCUGUGCAAGGAUGACAUGAUCCCUGGUGAGGCUAGUUUCU
Suncus etruscus (white-toothed pygmy shrew) is the source of this 102-nucleotide small nuclear RNA. The record is from RefSeq and is a predicted model, not a curated record. Lineage: Eukaryota; Metazoa; Chordata; Mammalia; Eulipotyphla; Soricidae.